RNAcentral lists this ribosomal RNA (1355 nucleotides) under Lactiplantibacillus plantarum. RNAcentral describes it as "bacterial SSU rRNA". It matches the Rfam family "Bacterial small subunit ribosomal RNA", at positions 38 to 1360 of the family's 1533-position model. The record is from RNAcentral. Lineage: Bacteria; Bacillati; Bacillota; Bacilli; Lactobacillales; Lactobacillaceae.
GGCGGGUGCCUAUACAUGCAAGUCGAACGAACUCUGGUAUUGAUUGGUGCUUGCAUCAUGAUUUACAUUUGAGUGAGUGGCGAACUGGUGAGUAACACGUGGGAAACCUGCCCAGAAGCGGGGGAUAACACCUGGAAACAGAUGCUAAUACCGCAUAACAACUUGGACCGCAUGGUCCGAGUUUGAAAGAUGGCUUCGGCUAUCACUUUUGGAUGGUCCCGCGGCGUAUUAGCUAGAUGGUGGGGUAACGGCUCACCCAUGGCAAUGAUACGUAGCCGACCUGAGAGGGUAAUCGGCCACAUUGGGACUGAGACACGGCCCAAACUCCUACGGGAGGCAGCAGUAGGGAAUCUUCCACAAUGGACGAAAGUCUGAUGGAGCAACGCCGCGUGAGUGAAGAAGGGUUUCGGCUCGUAAAACUCUGUUGUUAAAGAAGAACAUAUCUGAGAGUAACUGUUCAGGUAUUGACGGUAUUUAACCAGAAAGCCACGGCUAACUACGUGCCAGCAGCCGCGGUAAUACGUAGGUGGCAAGCGUUGUCCGGAUUUAUUGGGCGUAAAGCGAGCGCAGGCGGUUUUUUAAGUCUGAUGUGAAAGCCUUCGGCUCAACCGAAGAAGUGCAUCGGAAACUGGGAAACUUGAGUGCAGAAGAGGACAGUGGAACUCCAUGUGUAGCGGUGAAAUGCGUAGAUAUAUGGAAGAACACCAGUGGCGAAGGCGGCUGUCUGGUCUGUAACUGACGCUGAGGCUCGAAAGUAUGGGUAGCAAACAGGAUUAGAUACCCUGGUAGUCCAUACCGUAAACGAUGAAUGCUAAGUGUUGGAGGGUUUCCGCCCUUCAGUGCUGCAGCUAACGCAUUAAGCAUUCCGCCUGGGGAGUACGGCCGCAAGGCUGAAACUCAAAGGAAUUGACGGGGGCCCGCACAAGCGGUGGAGCAUGUGGUUUAAUUCGAAGCUACGCGAAGAACCUUACCAGGUCUUGACAUACUAUGCAAAUCUAAGAGAUUAGACGUUCCCUUCGGGGACAUGGAUACAGGUGGUGCAUGGUUGUCGUCAGCUCGUGUCGUGAGAUGUUGGGUUAAGUCCCGCAACGAGCGCAACCCUUAUUAUCAGUUGCCAGCAUUAAGUUGGGCACUCUGGUGAGACUGCCGGUGACAAACCGGAGGAAGGUGGGGAUGACGUCAAAUCAUCAUGCCCCUUAUGACCUGGGCUACACACGUGCUACAAUGGAUGGUACAACGAGUUGCGAACUCGCGAGAGUAAGCUAAUCUCUUAAAGCCAUUCUCAGUUCGGAUUGUAGGCUGCAACUCGCCUACAUGAAGUCGGAAUCGCUAGUAAUCGCGGAUUCAGCAGCCGU